This 305-nucleotide ribosomal RNA is filed under the name uncultured bacterium. RNAcentral describes it as "bacterial SSU rRNA". It matches the Rfam family "Bacterial small subunit ribosomal RNA", at positions 338 to 660 of the family's 1533-position model. The record is from RNAcentral.
CAUACGGGAGGCAGCAGUCGGGAAUAUUGCGCAAUGGAGGAAACUCUGACGCAGUGACGCCGCGUGCAGGAAGAAGGUUUUCGGAUUGUAAACUGCUUUAGACAGGGAAGAAAAAAGACAGUACCUGUAGAAUAAGCUCCGGCUAACUACGUGCCAGCAGCCGCGGUAAUACGUAGGGAGCAAGCGUUAUCCGGAUUUAUUGGGUGUAAAGGGAGAGUAGGCGGGCGAGAAAGUUGAAUGUUAAAUCUACCGGCUUAACUGGUAGCUGCGUUCAAAACUUCUUGUCUUGAGUGAAGGAGAGGCAG